ACUAGCACAAUAACGUCACCGCUGAUCAACUGACGCCAAUGGAAGUACGUAUGCGCUUGAAAUGGAAAACUAUGUCAAAAUAUUACAGAUCAUUGUGCCGGUAGUAAAUUGACAAAGCUGUCAUAGUUUACUUAGAAUUAUUUUAUAGGCUGACAACGGCUCGUUCUAUUCGAACGCAGCUGUCGACCAUGCCCCGCCUGCCCACUUUGUGUAAGUUCGACAUCAUUCGGGGGAUGAAGUUUUUCGACAGCUUCUUUCUUCCUGAUAUAUACCAUUUCUAUAUGUUUAACAAUCAUCGCUUAUGAACUUAGAUACGGCCAGUAGCAAGUCACAGGAUGCGGCUCCAUGCAAAUAGAUCGACAAGCUUCGUUGUAUCUAGGCCGGAAGACUCGUUACUUCUUCUGUGCGCCGAUGCGUAUCGCCACGAUUUUAACCGUCUGCCCAUUACCACGACUCGUUUGAAGCCACCGAUAAUUCGCCUGGUUCUAGACUGAACGUUAUGCUAAAAUACGCAGCUACAGCUGGCAUCCUGACCGGAAAAAGACCGCUCAGCAACUUCGUUCCUGCGCUUCUACCCGAAAAUGACUGAAACCUAGCUAGAAGUUAACUUGUAACAGCAAAUAAGCUUUUUACUAUUUAAUAUUGCUUUUUAAGGGUUUUUCGUUGAACGUUAACAAUGAGAA
Long non-coding RNA from Varroa destructor (honeybee mite), 683 nucleotides. RefSeq lists it as uncharacterized. The record is from RefSeq and is a predicted model, not a curated record. NCBI's taxonomy places the organism in Eukaryota, Metazoa, Arthropoda, Arachnida, Mesostigmata, Varroidae.